Oryzias latipes (Japanese medaka) is the source of this 1179-nucleotide long non-coding RNA. RefSeq lists it as uncharacterized. The record is from RefSeq and is a predicted model, not a curated record. Lineage: Eukaryota; Metazoa; Chordata; Actinopteri; Beloniformes; Adrianichthyidae.
UUUUAAAAUAUGUAUUUUUCAUGUUUUGUCGUAAUUUUUCAAUGGAACAUUCCGGCGGGCACAAGCAAAAAUGGAAAAGUCCAUUGUGACCAAAUGAAGGGGGAUUAAUAUGUUCAGAAGACUUGCUUAAGAUAAACUAGUAGAGCCAACACGUUAUAUGCUGUUUUAUAACUUAUUUAUUUUCAUAAUGAUGGCAUAAGGAAGUGUAACAUAAAAAAAUUAAUUCUAUUUAUUGCAUUUUUGGGAUACCCUUUGAGUAUUUUCAUAUUGUGACCGACCCAGCGCCAUCUUGUCACAUUUGCGACGUACAUCUGAUGAUCCAGAACAUGACGAGGACGAACAGGAAAAACAAUUAGGAAUAUAAUAUUCGGCGGACAAGAUAAAAGGAGUUUCAGGCCAAACGAGCUUACAUUGAUUGUGGAGCCAUAAGAGGAGAUACCAGAGCUUCAUCCAUCGUGGAUGUUUAUCCAGAGAACUGCAUCAUGUGCCUAGAGAAAUGCAUAGAGUCCUUGCUCACUAUGAAUUCAUUGAGGAAGUCAGAAUGUGAUGGGAGGAUUGCUGCGCCAGGGUCAUUUUACAGAGUAUGAAAGAAGGCAAUAAAGCCACCAAUCAACAGGGAUAAAAUGGAAGCCAACUUUGCUCUGGUGAAGGCCCUUCCCAUUCUCUUUCCCCCAGUGGCACCUCCAUCAAAGAAACUGGGGUGUGCUAGUGAAGCUUUACUGCAUGUUCAGGAGUCAACAGAAGAUCCAAACGUCUUCAUCCAGAAAAGAGGCCUGUCAAGUCCAGUCUUGAUGUUCGAUGGCAGCAGAUGAAUGGUUGCUAUUGGUUUGAUGCCAGUGACAUUUGAAAAAGAAAAGCUUCACGAGGGUCUGAUUUUCUAAAUGGCAUAUUAUUACACACUACACCUGACCUACACAAAUUGCGUGGCCACCCUUCUGUCAUUCAGACAGAUCCUUCAGGAUCCUAUUCACAAGUGGGACAUCACCACCACAUGAAAGAGCAUUAAAGUAAAGAAUUUGUUGGAAGAUGAACUGCUUUUGAAGUUCAAUGUUUAUGUCUGUUCUUUAGAUGAGUAUUCUAAUUGUGUUGUUAAAGAAAUAGUUGUAUUCCUAGUGCCUUUGGGUAAAUUUGUAUCACAAAUCUCAGUUUGUAAGUUGAAUAAAAGAAUCGAAAAGUGAA